CUCUGGCCUCAGCCUUGAGCAGCCCAGAUAGGGAAGGACCCCUUACCCCACCCAGCACGGGGUCCUGGGGGAGACACUGUGAAGAUGGAGCUGUUCCAGGCACUGUUGUUCCAACUUCGAGCCUGGUAACUGCUCUCUUUAAAACACAACGCAGGGAGGUCUGGCUUGAAGCGGGUAGUAGGAGCUGUGUGAAGGAAGAAAGAGGAAGCGCCCCUUGCCCUGACCAUUCAGGACCCAGGGUGUUAGAUUAAAGCAGGAUCAAAUCAGAUGCUGGUCAGAGCCCACAGUAGGCACAAGAUGGAGACACUUUUGGAUUUCUUGAAGGUGCAUCAUUAUCAGGAAGGCAGCUGGACCCCUGUCACCCAUAUGAAGAGACCCCAGAAGGGCUGUGGGAGGACUGUUCUCUGUCCAUGACCCUCCAGGAGUCUCCAGAGGCAAGAAAGUGUGUCACCCAGCCCUUCGGCCUUCUCCCUCUAGUCCUGACCCUGGGACUGCAUUCUCCACCUUCCUUGAUGGAUGGGUGACAUGUGGCUCAGGGUUUCAUGGAAAAUUCUUCAAGGCCUUAAUUUAUCUGAUAUGACAGCUCAGGGUCUUAGAAUCUGAGAAGGCAGCUUUAAGAGCCAGAGGGGAGACAAGUCUCAACUCUACACUUGGUUACUCCGGGAAGGCCCCAGAACCUGGGGCUCUGGGUCAGGGGUGGGGAUGACCAGGAGAGCCAUCCACGCAGGCAAGAAAGGGAGGCAUGAGGCAGCCAAGAAACUGGUGAUGUUCAAGUCGGCCACCAGGGGGCAGCAUGAAGCCAAGGACAGGCCUCCUAGACUCGGACUCUGUUCUGGCCAGGGGCUGGAAGACCCUGAACACCCGG
RNAcentral lists this long non-coding RNA (865 nucleotides) under Mus musculus (house mouse). RNAcentral describes it as "lincRNA-EC168". Lineage: Eukaryota; Metazoa; Chordata; Mammalia; Rodentia; Muridae. The record is from RNAcentral.